RNAcentral lists this small RNA (148 nucleotides) under Macaca mulatta (Rhesus monkey). Its description in RNAcentral is "Metazoan signal recognition particle RNA (ENSMMUG00000049616.1)". Lineage: Eukaryota; Metazoa; Chordata; Mammalia; Primates; Cercopithecidae. RNAcentral also lists the same sequence under 1 other name. The record is from Rfam by way of RNAcentral.
GCUGGGCGUGGUGGUGUGCGCCUGUAGUCCCAGCUACUUGGGAGGCUGAGGCAGGAUAAUCGCUUGAACCCAGGAGGUGGAGGUUGCAGUGAGCCAAGAUCACACCACUGCACUCCAGCCUGGGCGACAGAGCGAGAUCCCGUCUCAA